AUUGAACGCUGGCGGCAUGCUUUACACAUGCAAGUCGAACGGCAGCGCGGGCUUCGGCCUGGCGGCGAGUGGCGAACGGGGGAGUAAUGCAUCGGAACGUGCCCAGGAGUGGGGGAUAGCCCGGCGAAAGCCGGAUUAAUACCGCAUACGACCGGAGGGUGAAAGCGGGGGACCGAAAGGCCUCGCGCUAUUUGAGCGGCCGAUGUCGGAUUAGCUAGUUGGUGGGGUAAAGGCUUACCAAGGCGACGAUCCGUAGCUGGUCUGAGAGGACGACCAGCCACACUGGGACUGAGACACGGCCCAGACUCCUACGGGAGGCAGCAGUGGGGAAUUUUGGACAAUGGGGGCAACCCUGAUCCAGCCAUGCCGCGUGCGGGAAGAAGGCCUUCGGGUUGUAAACCGCUUUUGUUCGGGAAGAAAUCCUCUGGGCUAAUACCCCGGGGGGAUGACGGUACCGGAAGAAUAAGCACCGGCUAACUACGUG
This 484-nucleotide ribosomal RNA is filed under the name uncultured bacterium. RNAcentral's name for it is "partial 16S ribosomal RNA". It matches the Rfam family "Bacterial small subunit ribosomal RNA", at positions 28 to 507 of the family's 1533-position model. The record is from RNAcentral.